CAGUCGCCGCGGUAAUACGAAGGGUGCAAGCGUUACUCGGAAUUACUGGGCGUAAAGCGUGCGUAGGUGGUGGUUUAAGUCCGUUGUGAAAGCCCUGGGCUCAACCUGGGAAUUGCAGUGGAUACUGGGUCACUAGAGUGUGGUAGAGGAUAGUGGAAUUUCCGGUGUAGCAGUGAAAUGCGUAGAGAUCGGAAGGAACAUCUGUGGCGAAGGCGACUAUCUGGGCCAACACUGAUACUGAGGCACGAAAGCGUGGGGAGCAAACAGGAUUAGAUACCCCCGUAGUCCCUGUCUCUUAUAC
RNAcentral lists this ribosomal RNA (301 nucleotides) under uncultured bacterium. Its description in RNAcentral is "partial 16S ribosomal RNA". It matches the Rfam family "Bacterial small subunit ribosomal RNA", at positions 509 to 807 of the family's 1533-position model. The record is from RNAcentral.